AAUUAUAUGGAGGUUUGUAUCUAUUUAAAAAGCCAAAUAUAUUACACUGAGAUCAUCCAAAAACUUGCUAUGUGUUCUUUAUUACUCUCCUAAACUAUUGUGUUAAAGUGUAACAUUCCAAUAGUAGUCAUUAUAUCCUGAAGAUCAAACUGCCUUUGUUUGUCCUUCUUGCACUGAGAUAUUUUAUCUUGAGGGGUGGAAUUUGGUUUUAAGGACCGUGUUGUCGCAUACCUUAACUAUUUGCUACUUUUCGUCCAAACUUUGCUGUUUUUAGUCCUAAAAUUCCAACAAUCUUAAGACCAAAUAUAAGUGAUAUUUCACCACAAGAUCUCUCUUCAUCAAUCGUUGGACAUGCUACUCCCAUGGCCCCUGCACUUACUACUCUCACUGCCGAUCUUCCUGUAGUAGCUUUCGCUAUCGUCGCUGGAAAAAACUUGCCAUAUACUUCCAAGAUUGAAUUGUUCAAUGGAGAAAAUUUCAAAUGUUGGCAACAAAAGGUCAUCCAAUGACAUACUGGAUGUUCACAGCCUUGCUGACUAUCUACAAUCAUCACCACUAAAAAAGAGUAUUAAAGAUUAUGACUAGAAAUUUCAUAAUUGGAAUGUUGGUAAUAAGGUCUGUAAGUACACAAUACUGAAUACUAUUGUCAGUUCACUCUAUGAUGUUUAUUAUCCAUAUAAGAAUGCAUAAGAGAUAUGGGCACUACGUAAGAUAAAAUAUAUGGUUGAAGAUGUUAGGACUCAAUAACAUUAUAUCGGUGAUUUUCUACAUUUUAGGAUAGUGGAUGGUAAAUCUAUGUUCGACCAAAUCCGUGGAAUGACCAAAUCUAUGAAUAAUACAUAUUGGUUAAUAACCUUAAAAAAGAGGAAAUAUUUCUUCCUGAAUGAUUUGUAACUGGUUGUUUAAUUGAGAAACUGCCAGAAUCAUGGUAAGAUUAUAUUAAAACCUUAAAACAUAAGAAGAAACAAGUGAGUCUUGAAGAUGCAACUACCUAUAUUAGAAUUGAGGAGAAGAAUAAAUUAGAGAUGCAUUUGAUAAAAGCAAGGAAUUUUAUUGCAAUGCAAAUUUAAUAUAGAACACUCUUCAACCUAAUAAAAAGCAAUAAACACCCUAAUAACCCCAAAAGCCCAUUGCUAAGAAGAAAGUUCAUUGUUUUGUUUGUGAAAAAAAUUGGGCAUUAUGCUAUCAAUGCAGGCAUAAAACUUAGAAAAGGACAAAAAACAAAAAACCUCCUAAAGCCGAUGUGGCUAAAGGAGAAGGAGAUGACAUCAUUACUAUUGUAAUUGUUUCUGAGGUGAACAUGGUAGAUGGAAGCAAGGAUUGAGUGACUGAUUUUGGCACUACAAGAUAUAUAUGUAACAAUGAUUUUGGCACUGCAAGAUAUAUAUGUAGCAAUAAAAACUUUUUCUUUGACUAUACUCUAGCAAGGGAAGGAGAGGAAGUCAUUUACCUUAGUGAUUCUUGGUCUACUCUGAUCUUAGGCAAAGGGUAAAAUUCUUCACAAAAUAUUGUACUCCAUGUUCCUUAGAUCAAAUACAAUUUAGUGUCUAUUUAUAUGUUAGGCAAAGCUCGGCUUAAAGUGUCUUUUGAGGGUGAUAAAAUUGUAAUAACAAAAAAUAGUAUGUUUGUUAGGAAAGGGUAUUGUUCGAGAGAACUCUUCAAACUCAAGGUAUUUAAUGUUAUAAUGAAUGAAACGACUUUUUCUUCUGCUUAUAUUGUUGACUAUAUUCAUCUUUGGCAUCGAAGAUUUGGUCAUAUGAAUUUUUUUUAUACUAAGAAAACGAAAGAACUUGGUUUAUUGUCUAAUUUAGGCUUGUCUAAUGACAAAUGCAAGGUAUGUGUGGAAAGCCAAAUCCACUAAGAAGAAUGUAAACAAGUUCAACAUAGAGAAAUUGAACUCCUCAAUUUAAUUCACAGCGACCUUGAUAAUUUAGAACAGACCAUGACCAGAGGAGGCAAAAGGUAUUAUAUUAAUUUUAUUGAUUAUUCUCAAGAUAUGCAAAUGAGAUUGGGAACUUGAAAAGUUCUUGCUCUAUAAAGUGAACUUGAAAAUCAAUUUAUUAAGAAAAUUAAAAUGUUAAGAACUGAUAAAGGAGGUGAAUAUGAUGUUAAAUGCUUAUUGUGAGAAUCAUGGUAUCAUCCAUGAAGUGACACCUCCAUAUUAAAUGAAUCUAAUGGUGCAAUUGAAACAAAAAAUAGAACUUUGAAGAACAUGACAGAUGCCAUGAUAAUAAGUUUUGGGGCACUGCUGAACUUUUGGGGGGUAACUAUGUUAUCUACUUGUCAUGUUUAAAACAUAAUACUUUGUAUUAAAAAAAAAUAAGUGAGACACCUUAUGAAUUUUGGAGAGGAUAUAAGCCUAACUUAUCAUACCUCAAAAUGUAGGGGUGUCUUCCUAAAGUUCUUAAACCGAAUCCCAAAAGAACAAGAUUGCGACAAAAAACUAUCAAUUGUAUGUUUAUAGCGUAUGCCCACAAUAAUACUGCUUAUAGGUUCUUAGUACUGCAAGAUGAAAGUCUCUCAUUUGAGGCUAAUACUAUCAUUGAGCCCAAAAAUACUGACUUCUUUCAAUAUAUUUUUCCUAAAAAGACUAGCAUCGAGAAACGAUUGCCUUAUACUAAGUCAACAUUUGAUUCCUCUGAAAGUUCAGAUGCAAAACCAAGAACAAGCACAAGAAUGAGAAAAGCCACUAAUUUUGGUGAUGAUUUCUAUGUCUUUCUUGCUGAGAAUGGUCUUUAGACCUUCACAAAAGCUAUGACUUCUCAAGAUGCACUAUUAUGUAAGGAAACUGUCAACAAUGAACUAGAUUCCAUCAUGAGCAAUUAUGUAAGGGAGUUAGUUGACUUACCUUUAGAUACAAAACCUAUUGGGUGCAAGUGGGUUUUCAAAAAGAAAUUAAAAGCCGAUAGAUCUAUUAAUAAAUAUAAAACAAGAUUGGUGGCCAAGGGAUUCACAUAGAAGAAAUAUAUAGAUGUCUGUAACUUAAAUUACAUCUAUUAGAGUUUUAAUUACUCUUGCAGCAAUUCAUAAUAUACAUGUGCAUCAAAUGGAUGUUAAAGUUGCCUUUCUCAAAGGAGACUUGGAUGAGGAGAUAUUUAUAGAUCAACUUGAAGGUUGUUUAGUUUAAGGUUCUGAGCAAAAGGUGUGCCAGUUGGUUAAGUUUAUAUAUGACUUAAAACAAGUACCAAAACAAUGGCAUGUGAAAUUUGAUCAAAUAUUAUUAUCCAACAAAUAUACGAUUAAUGAUUCAAAUAAAUAUAUCUAUUCUAAAUCCAUUAACACUAAUACUUUUGUCAUCAUGUGCCUUUAUGUAGAUGACAUGCUUAUUCUAAGUUCCACUAUUGGAACUAUUGAUGGGACUAAAGAGAUGUCGGCCUCUAAUUUUGAUAUGAAAGAUAUGGAAACGACAAACGUGAUUUUAGUCAUCGAAAUCAUAAAGAGUUAUGAUGGGCUCAUGUUAUCUCAAGAACAAUAUGUUUAAAAGCUGUUGAGGAGAUUUGGGUAUUAUGAUUGCAAAAUGGUGUUAAUUUCAUAUGAUGGUAAUACCCACUUAAAAAAGAAUGUUAGACAUAGUGUUGCUCAAGUGAUAUAUGCCCAAAUAAUGAAAUACAAGUGUGCAACCCAAGAGGGGGGGGGUGAAUUGGGAUUCUAAAAAUUAUUGGGUUAUAAGACAAAUUAUCAAGCAAAUCUAAGAUGAAUUUAAUGGAAUAACAAUUAAAUCAACUACAAUAUAAAAAGAUAAGGGAAGAGAGAUUCAAACACGAAGAUUUUUACGUGGUUUGGCCAACCUCGCCUACGUCCACACCUCCAAACUUUUCGGGCUUGAGGAUUUCACUAAGCAAGCCUCCAAGGCUUCAAAUGCUUACACUUGACUUCCAAGAUGUCAAUGAAACUUUACAACAAGAGAUUAUCCCCAAUCUCUUAACCCAAGUGUAUCCCAACACUUACAAUCACUCAAAGUAAAAGAUUAAAAAUUAUUUUUCUCUCACACAAUAUUUAAGAUUACAAAUCAAUGCCCAAUGUGUGAAUAGAUGAAGCACGAAUGUGUUUUAAAGCUCUAUGAAGAUUAUAUUCUCGAAUAUAAGCUCAAUGGUCGUGUUGUGAUCAAUCUUGUUUGAAUUUGGAUGAGCUUAUUUAUAGUUAGAACUAAAAAACUAGCCGUUAUAGGCUGUCUGCUCGAAAACGUUUCGCCGUUAGCCAUUAACGGUUCACCGUUUUAGGCUGGUCAAUAUUACCGUUUGACCAAUUUUCAAAUAAACGGUUUACCGUUUAGGGUUACCCUUUCGCCAUUAAAUUUCAGAAACCUGCAAGAUGAACAUCAGUUAUCCGUUUAUAUUAAACGGUUAAGGAUUUGCAUGAAAUGACCUCUCUGGAAGUUGUCGGUUAAUCGUUUGUAACAAACAGUUCGCCGUUUGUUUCCAGUAACUUGUAAAACAAAUUAGCCUUAUUCGGUUUUGUUAUAUGGUGCAAGAUGAGUACAAUCUUCAAUUCUGGAUUUUAUCGGUUAAUCGUUUAAAUAAAUGGUCCACCGUUAAAUUCCAGUAACCUUCCCAACUUUUUGUGAUUUCUGUUUUUCUUAAUCGGUUAGAGCUUAGGCAAUAUGUUGCUCUCUGGUUUUAAUCGGUUAACCGUUUCAAUAAACGGUUCACCGUUUAUUUCCAGAAUCUCAGUUUAAGCCAGAUUUUGUAGAGAAUUAUUUUCCAAUUUGAAAUUUAACAGUGAUCCAUCUUUUAUGAAUAUAAUUGGAAUGUUUAUAAGGCUCUCGUUUAUUAAGGAAUAGCUCCAACAUUUUAAUAAAAAACCAUUUAAAGUUUGUUAUCAUUAAAAUCAAUAUUAUUAAAAUAUUCAUGUUAAAAAUCUCCCCAUUUUUGAUGAUGACAAACUUCAAUUAAUAUUUUGCUCCCCCUUAAUAUAUGACCAAAUUAAAAAAAAUGUCCAAUAAAAUAAUUUGUGUUCAAGGAGACAUUUUAAAAACAAAAUUCAUUUCAAAUCUCCCCAUAAUUAUCUCCCCCUUCAUCAUCAAAAAGAAAAGAGAGGAAAGAAAUUCGUAAAUCUGUAGAAGAAAAGAAGUUACCCAGUUUUGGCGAGCAAAAAAUUUGGCAGAGUUUCCCCUUAAAAUGGAGCAAAACCACUAAUACAAAAUGAGAUUAAAAACUCCAUCAACUAAUAAACCAACAAUUUCAUUAACCAAUAUCAAGUCAUCCAACAUCAAGAACAUCACAAAAACAUGUCAUCAAAAUCCAUCAAGAUCAUAUAGAGGUAGCAGUGUGUAUAAAAAUAUAAAUAACAACACACAAACAAACAAAAUAUGAAAUGUAUGUGCGAAAAUAGAACUUAGAAACUAUGGAGGUGGAGAAGAUGUGCUCCCCAGAUCAUAACCGAAAUAGCGGAGAAGAGUGCACUGUCCAGCGAUAAGCUCAAGCUGCUGAUCAAUGCUCUGCUGCUGGAAGGUCUGAAAGUCAGAACGUAUGUGCUGGUGGUCAUGGGAGAAAGUGUCCAAACGAUCGAUAAUCAACUGCUGCCGCUUCGAAAUCCUGCGAAAAUCAGCAACCAACUGCUGCAUAACGUCCGAAGUAGGGGGCUGAACUGGAGCUGGAGGUGGCUCAGAAGCAGAGGGCUGCUCAGGAACAGUAGAUGGCUUAGGAGCAGGAGGCUGCUCGGGAGCCAGAGGCGGCUCGACAGAGGAGGGAAUGUCAGCAUCCAUCGCACGCUCCUCAGAGUCAGAGUCAGCUGGAGGCCGGGGGACAAAACGGCGACGCGGAGGAUGAAGAUGAGCUCCUAAUCUAAAAUCUAGAAGCUUAUCGGGAGGAUAAACAUCAUUGAGCAUCCGAUCGUCCUAUGGAGCAAUCAAGGUAUCCCGGUUUUUGGAGUUUUUAGUUUUUAUCCACUCUCCAUUCUUCCUAGAAAAACCGAUACUAGUCAUGGCCUCUGGACCAAUCCGUCUAGUCUCCAUAUAACCGGUAUCGAGAAGAGGCACCUCAAAGUGUCGCAGUAUCUUAGUAAUGAUACUGCCAUAUGGAAGCAAACAGUGGUUAACCGUGGGAGUACUCAACAUGUGCUGCACAAUAACAUAGCCGAGGUUAAUGGGACGACCUAAAAUGAGGCUAUCUAAUAGGCCAACGUCCAACCUCGUAACCUCAUCCGAGUGACCCUUCCUAGGUGUCACUAUGUGCUGUAAAAUAGUGUGAAGAAUGCGAACUUGGAGAGGUAAAAGUUGAGACCGAAAAGGUAGAUUACAGAUCUCAUUAGACAAGUCUCGACGGUGACAAAUAUUACGGAUUCCAUCAACAUGACUAAAACCGUCAAAAGAAAGGGCUUUCCUAGAGGUAUAAAUUUCAUGACCCUCACUAGAGAUACCUAGAAAGCCAUUUAGGUCUUCAUCAUCAAACUCUAUAGGCACACCGCCGACUUGAGUAACUAUCCUAUCUAGGCGAGUUGCGGAGAUUUCUAUGUUCGAAUAAAAGACUCGCACUAAAUUGGGAUAAACUCGGUCAUUAAAGUCAAUGGUAGAUUCCCAAGGAUGAAGCAUAUCCCUAAUGCUUCUAUCACAUACAACUAAGGUACUGAAAUCAUCUAUUUCAACAUAGGAAGAGUCAAGUACCUUUUGACCAUUGAAGCUAUCCUCGAACCGCUUGGCCAAAGAAGGCAUGGGGAAAUGAAUUCUUGCGAAUUCAUAGACUUCCUGUGGUGGUAUAAGAUUCCUUGGAGGCACAGAUUUUCUCAUGAGAUUUCUCCGAGGGGGCUCAGCCAUGGUGAAGAGUAAGGAAGUUUGAAAAAUUUGAGAGAGAUGUGAGGAGAAGAAGAUGAACCGAUUAUUUGUUUAGGAAUGAGUAAAUGAUGUGAUUUUAAGGCUCAAUUUGGUUGAAGAAGGGCAAGGAUCAGGUAAAAAAUGAAAAAACCCGAACGACUGCACUUAGGGUUUGGAUUUGGGAUUUUUCGAUUUUGGGCUUGAUUUGAAGAUUUGAAUCGGUGAAAGUGUUCUAAAGGUGAUAAGAAAUGAUGUUAUAGGUUUUAUUUGGCAAGAAAAACAAGAAAAAUAAAGGUUUGAGGGCAGAUGAAGCUUCGGCUGCGCAACAAUGGCCGAAAUGGUGAAAGGGCAACUGGAGAAGGAGAAGAAAAACCUUUGAACAGUUUUAUAUUCACGAAAAUGGUUAACCAUUUAUUUAAAUGGUUAAGGGUAACUUCCAGAGGCUAAGGAAUGGAAAACGGUGAAAGGUUAAUCUCUUAACGGCUAAAGAGUAACUUCUAGAGAGCUCUCUGUUUUUAAACGAUUUACCAAUUACAUCAAUCGGUAAAAGGGUUAAAAGGCAGACAUCAUAAUCUAGUUUUUGGAAUAAAAUGGUACACCAUUUAUUGGAAAAGGUUAGCCGUUUAAUUUAUCUAUAAUUUCGCACAUUUGAUUUAAUUUUUGGCCAGCAAAUAAUACAUUCCAAGAUCAUUUAAUUGAUCUAAAAAUAUUUUAUGAGCCAUUUUAAUGCAUGAUUCAUGAACAUGUAUUUAAGCAAUUAAUUCAUAUAAUCAAUCAAGAAUUAACAAAGCAAGCACAUCAUUUGAAUAUCAAGCUUAAGCAUUUCAUAAAUAUUAAAUCAUCAAAUCACUAAUAAGUCAAUCAAUUCAAUACACUCAAUAGCAUGAAUAGAGACAUUAAUGCGAAAAUUUCAUCAUCCCAAGUUCAUACCGAAUCUUUGAAAAUUGUUCUUCGCCAAGAGGUUUGGUAAAAAUAUCGGCGAGUUGUUUUUCUGUAGAGAUAAACUCUAAUGCAAUAUCCCUCUUUUGAACAUGAUCUCUCAAGAAAUGAUGUCUUAUUUCUAUAUGCUUGGUUCAAGAGUAUUGAAUGAGAUUCUUUGAAAGAUUUAUAGCACUAGUAUUAUCACACUUAAUAGGAAUUUGUUCUAGGUUAAUACCAUAGUCUCUAAGUGUUUGUUUCAUCCAAAGAGCUUGUGUACAACAACUUCCUGCAGCCAUAUAUUCAGCCUCGGUGGUUGAGAGUGCAACAGAAUUUUGUUUCUUGCUAAACCAUGAAACAAGUGAGUGACCUAGGAUAUAGCAUGUUCCACUAGUGCUUUUCCUAUCAACUUUAUAAUCCGAAAAAUCUACAUCCGAAUAGCAUGUUAAAUCUAUAUGAGUUCCCCUAGGAUACCAAAGGCCAAUAUCUAUGGUUCCACUUAAAUAACGGAAAAUUCUUUUAACAACAAGCAAAUGGGAUUCCUUGGGACAUGAUUGAAAUCUUGUGCACAAACAUACACUAAACAUGAUAUCGGGUCUACUUGCAGUUAAAUAAAGUAAAGAUCCGAUCAUACCUCCAUACAUUUUGAUAUCCACUUCUUUGCCUUUUUCAUCUUUGUCAAGUUUGGUUGUUGUGCUCAUUGGAGUGUUUUUGGUCUUUGAGUCAUCAAUGCCAAAUCUUUUGAGUAGAUCUUUUACAUACUUGGCUUGAUUUAUGAAAAUUCCUUCCUCAUUUUGUUUUAUUUGAAGCCCAAGGAAGUACUUCAACUCUCCUAUCAUACUCAUUUCAAAUUCAUUACUCAUGCAAGAUGAAAAUUCUUUACACAACAAUUCAUUAGUAGAACUAAAAAUAAUAUCAUCAACAUAAAUUUGAACAACAAGUAUGUCUUUAUCCUUAUGUUUGACAAAGAGAGCAGUAUCCGCUUUACCCAUUGAAAAAUCAUUUUCUAACAAGAAAUUCUUAAGCCUAUCAUACCAUGCUCUAGGUGCUUGUUUUAAUCCAUACAAAGCUUUAAAUAACUUAUAAACAUGAUUUGAAAAUUUUUCAUUUUCAAAAUCAGGGGGUUGUUUUACAUACACUUCUUCCAUUAUAAAACCAUUCAAAAAAGCACUUUUCACAUCUAUUUGAAAUAAAAUGAAAUCUUUAUGACAUGCAAAUACCAACAACAUUCUAAUUGAUUCUAGUCUAGCUACGGGUGCAAAUGUUUCAUCAAAAUCAAUUCCUUUUUCUUGGUUGUAACCUUGAGCCACUAAUCUAGCUUUAUUUCUUACAACCACACUAGAUUCAUCCAUCUCAUUUCUAAAUAUCCAUUUAGUACCGAUGACAGAUUGAUAUUCCGGUUUAGGAACUAAUUCCCACACAUUGUUUCUUUCAAAUUGAUUUAACUCCUCUUGCAUUGCCAUAAUCCAAGAUUCAUCAUUUUCCGCAUCCGCAAAGGAUUUGGGUUCAAUUUGAGAAAUAAAUGCAUUAUGCUCACAAAUAUUUUUAAGUGAUGAUCUAGUUGUAACACCUCGUAAGGGAUCUCCUAAAAUUACAUCCUUAGGGUGAGAAGAAACAUACCUCCACUCCUUGGGGAAUGCUUGAGAAGUACCUUCAUGUUGCUCCAUAUUUGUUUGCUCUUCUUGUUCAUCCUCUUGAUUUCUUUGUGGUGCAUUCUCUUGUUUAUCCUUUGAUGGUUCUUUUUGUAACUCUCCAUCUGCAUCAUCAUAAUUUACUCCUUUCUCUGUAGAGGAGGGGUUAGACUCAUCAAAUAUAACAUGCAUAGAUUCUUCUACAACUAGUGAACUUGAAAUUAUAAACUCGAUAAGCUUUGCUUGAGUUUGAAUAUCCAAGAAAAAUACCAAUAUUUGAUUUUGGAUCAAAUUUGCCAAGAUUGUCUUUUUGUUAAAAAUAAAACAUGUGCAACCAAAAACUUUGAAAUAACCAAUAUUGGGUUUUCUAAUUUUCCAAAGCUCAUAUGGAGUUUUGUUAAGGCUAGGUCUAAUCAACACACGAUUUAAAACAUAACAAGCGGUGUUGAUGGCCUCGGCCCAAAAAUACUUAGGCAAUGAAUUUUCAUUCAACAUAGUCCUAGCUAUUUCUUGAAUGGAUCUAUUCUUUCUCUCAACAACUCCAUUUUGUUGUGGAGUUCUAGGUGAUGAAAAUUGAUACUCAAUACCAAAAUCAUUACAAAAAGUCUCAAAUGCAUGAUUUUCAAACUCUCCUCUAUGAUCACUCCUAAUGCAUGCAAUACCAUACCCUUUUUCAUUUUGAAUUUUCUUACAAAACACUUUAAAGGCAUCAAUAGCAUCAUACUUAUUAGCUAAGAAUAAUACCCAUGUAUAUCUAGAAUAAUCAUCCACUAUCACAAAUGCAUAAUCAUGCAAUGUUUUGUUCUCUACUUCUAUGCAUGCAAUUCUUGCAUUUAGAGAUUCAUUUUCAUUUUUAAGAUUUGCCAUUUCCUUUUUAAGACAUACAUUCUUUCUACCAAUCUUCAUAAACUCAUUAUGCAAUUCUUUAAAAGCAUCAUACAAUUCAUCAUAGGUGGGAUCACUUACCUCAUUGAGAUCAUCAUCCCCUCCUAUUGCCAUAAGCGCUAGGUUUGAUACUUCUUGCGACCCUUCUUUAUCACUUAAAUCUUCCUCGCUAUCAUCCCAAGUUGCAACCAUGGCUUUCUUCUUCAGUUUGUUGAUAAGUGGGCACUCCGAUCUUAUAUAGCCAGGCUUCUUGCAUUCAUAGCAUGUGAUUACCUCUUUAUUCUCCCUUUGGUUCUUGAAGUUUCUGAAAUUUCUUCGUUCUUCGGUUUUCUUGAAAAAUUUUCUGAACCUCCUUGCUAGCAUGGCCAACUCUUCAUCAUCCGGUUCACUCUCCCCAUCACUCUCAUAUUUUGAAGCUUUGAGAGUAAUGCUUUUUCUUUUUCUCCUCAUGCCCUUUUUCCGCGGCCAAAUCUUCUUCAUAUGAAAUGAGAGAACCAAUUAAAUCAUCAAGAGGUAAAGUAUUUAAAUCUUUGGUCUCUUCAAUAGCGGUUCUUUUAGGUCUCAAUUCUUUUGGAAGUGACCUAAUGAUUUUCUUAACUUUCUCGCUAUUUGAGAAGGUUUUUCCUAGGGCUCCUAGGGUGUUGACUAUGUCCGUAAAUCUCAUAUACAUAGAGUACACACUUUUAUUUUGUUCUAUUUUGAACAACUCAUAUUGUUUAGUGUACCUACAAAUUUUUAACUCUUUCACUUAAUUUGUGCCUUCAUAGACUACUUCAAGUUUAUGCCAAAUUUCAUUGGCACUUUCACAAUUAGAUACUCAAUGAAAUUCCUUCUUGUCAAGUGCACAAAAUAAAGCAUUCAUAGCUUUAGAAUUUAGAGAAGAUUUUCUCUUUUCCAAUUCAUCCCAUUCCCUUGACGGUUUUGGAAUAUCUUCCCCGACUUCAUUUUUAGUUAGGGGCAAAAACAAACCAUCACAUACAACUUCCCAAAUUUCAUAAUCUAGUGCUUGUAAAUAAAUUCUCAUCCUAGUUUUUCAAUAUGGGUAGUCAUUUCCGUCAAAGAACGGUGGUCUAGUUGUGGACUAUCCUUCCCUAAAGGUUGAGUCAUUUUGGAUUGUCAUGGAUCUUUUACUCUAGACGGUUAAGUCCUAACAAGAGAAUCAGGCUCUGAUACCAAAUGAAAUACAAAUGUGCAACCCAAGAGGGGGGGGUGAAUUGGGAUUCUAAAAAUUAUUGGGUUCUAAGACAAAUUAUCAAGCAAAUCUAAGAUGAAUUUAAUGGAAUAACAAUUAAAUAAAUUACAAUAUAAAAAGAUAAGGGAAGAGAGAUUCAAACACGAAGAUUUUUACGUGGUUUGGCCAACCUCGCCUACGUCCACACCUCCAAGCUUUCCGGGCUUGAGGAUUUCACUAAGCAAGCCUCCAAGGCUUCAAAUGCUUACACUUGACUUCCAAGGUGUCAAUGAACCUUUACAACAAGAGAUUGUCCCCAAUCUCUUAACCCAAGUGUAUCCCAACACUUACAAUCACUCAAAUUAUUUUUCUUUCACACAAUAUUUAAGAUUACAAAUCAAUGCCCAAUGUGUGAAUAGAUGAAGCACAAAUGUGUUUUAAAGCUCUAUGAAGAUUGUAUUCUCGAAUAUAAGCUCAAUGGUCGUGUUGUGAUCAAUCUUGUUUGAAUUUGGAUGAGUUUAUUUAUAGCUGGAACUAAAAAACUAGCCAUUAUAGGCUGUCUGCUCGAACGAUUCGCCAUUAGCCAUUAACGGUUCACCGUUUUAAGCUGGUCAAUAUUACCGUUGGGCCAAUUUUCAAAUAAACGGUUUACCGUUUAGGGUUACCCUUUCGCCGUUAAAUUCCAGAGACCUGCAAGAUGAACAUCAGUUAUCCAUUUACAUUAAACGGUUAAGGAUUUGCAUGAAAUGACCUCUCUGGAAGUUGUCGGUUAACCGUUUGUAACAAACGGUUCGCCGUUUGUAACAAACGGUUCGCCGUUUGUUUCCAGUAACCUGCAAAACAAAUUGGCCUUAUCCGGUUUUGUUAAAUAGUGCAAGAUGAGUACAAUCUUCAAUUCUGGAUUUUAUCGGUUAAUCGUUUAAAUAAACGGUCCACCGUUAAAUUCCAGUAACCUUCCCAGCUUUUUGUGAUUUCCUUUUUUCUUAAUCGGUUAGAGCUUAGGUAAUAUGUUGCUCUCUGGUUUUAAUCGGUUAACCGUUUCAAUAAACGAUUUACCGUUUAUUUCUAGAAUCUCAGUUUAAUCCAGAUUUUGCAGAGAAUCAUUUUUCAAUUGGAAAUUUAACAGUGAUCCAUCUUUUAUGAAUAUAAUUGGAAUGCUUAUAAGGCUCUUGUUUAUUAAGGAAUAGCUACAACAUUUUAAUCAAAAACCAUUUAAAGUUUGUUAUUAUCAAAAUCAAUAUUAUUAACAUAUUCAUGUUAACAAAUAAUUAGUGGCCUAAUGUACUUGAUGAAUAAUACAAGACCUGACAUCGCAUACGCUGUAAGAAAAUUGUUUGGGUUGACUCAAAAUUUAAAGAAGGAUCAGUAAACCGCAUCAGCCAGACUAGCAAGAUAUUUGAGAGGCACUAUUGAUUACAAGCUUAAAUAUAGUAGAUUUCUACCAAUACUUAAAAGGGUAUAGUGAUGCAAAUUGAGGAUCUCUGAAUCAAAUGAGCUCAAAUCCACUAGUGGUUAUAUUUCCACCCUUGGUGGAGGUGCAAUAUCUUAAAAAUCAUCCAAGCAUGUUUCGAGACUGGGUGGCUACAGAACCUCUUGGUAGAUCUUCUAAUUUUUGCUCACCCUCUUAUUGUUGUGCCAAUCCAUUGUGAUUAUCAAGCUACUAUUGGCAAAAGCUAAGAGUAAAAUAUAUAAUGGGAAGAAUAGACACAUACAUAUGAGGCAUAGUAUUGUUAAGCUACUGGAAUCAAGUGUUGUGAGCAUAGGUUUGUAAGUCAAAAUUGAAUUUGGCUGAUCCUAUGAUAAAACCACUAAACAAGAGUUUGGUGGAGAUCAUGUUGAGGAGGAUGGAAUUACUGUCUAGAUCAGAAGAGAAGAGUAAUAGUAACCUUACCUAUGUGAUUGGAGAUCCCAUGAAGUCGAUUCAUAAAGAUGAAAACAAGUUAAUUAUUAUCUUAUAGCACCAUCGAUAUCAUGUAAUCUUAUUUUUAUUUAAUAAAGAUUUCCUUUAUUUAUAAUUCCUCCCUAUGGCGAGAUUGCACUUAUCGUAGUAAUUUAAACUGAGCAAUUGAACUCUUAAUGAACUCCAUAGCCCAAAUUUUGUUUAUGGUGGUGUGUCAUAACUGCAUGACACUUAUGACACACUAGAUGAAAGUUCACCUAUGUGAGUGUGGAACUAGGUCAAUUCUUAUGAGAGUUAGACAAGCUUCUCUAAAGCACUCAUAAAUCCAAGGGCACAAGGCCAUUAAAGUGCCAAACCGCAAAACACCAAAACAUUGAGAGAGAUUAAUGUUAGCCUCUAGUCCUCUUCCUUAAACGAAAAAGAAUAUUGGUUAAUAGAAAUUAUAAAUUCCCAGACUAAGGCCAAUUAAAUGAACCUCAAUAUUCUCCUAGAACAAGCCAACACAGUAGGGCAAGCCCCAUUUAAGUUAAAAAAACACUAUUUGAUAUGUACAUUAUCCCCACAUCGUAACAUGUUUUUUAUUCUAAUUCACAUUCAAAUCUCUCUAUAAAUACACCCUCUAAUCCUUUAAUCCUUCCUUACAAUCAUCUCUCUAAUUAGUUUUAAAUUUAGUAAUUUGCUCUUCCUCCUCAUCUACCAUUACAAUAAAAACAAAGUUACCUACCACAAAUAUAAUUAACCAAAUGGCUAUCAAUAAACUUCUCAAAAUAGGCUCAAGCUUUAGGAAGAAAAGUAGUUGUGAUCAAGAUGGCCAUCCAAAUGAUGUACCAAAGGCCAUUGCAUAGUUAAUAUGGUUUUGGAUUUAAUAGUGAAAGUGAAUUCAGAACGGCCAAUCAAUGAGAAAAAUAUCCAAUAAAUAUCAAAUCUUAAAUCACGAAUUAAACAACUCCUCCAAAUCUCUCUCUAAAUUCUAAACAAUCAAAAUUCAAUAAACUCUGUAACUACACUGUUCAACCCAUACACACCAAGGUAGUAAUUAUGAUUUCAACUUAUUGAGAAUUACCAUUAAACAUUUAUGUUGUGUUUACUUGCUGGAGUGGGAGUGAGGAGUGUGGAUUCCUCCUACUCCAGCGUUUACUUGCUCUAAAUGGGAAGGGAGUGGGAAUCCCACUCCGUGGGCCCCACCCAUUUUUGGAGUGGGGAGUGGGAGUGGGACUCCCAUUGGGGGAGGUGGGAGUGGGAAUCCACUCCCACCUCUCCCUUUUUUACCCU
RNAcentral lists this long non-coding RNA (14525 nucleotides) under Citrus x clementina. RNAcentral describes it as "Citrus clementina (C. clementina) long non-coding RNA (CCLE_LNC004078)". The record is from RNAcentral. Lineage: Eukaryota; Viridiplantae; Streptophyta; Magnoliopsida; Sapindales; Rutaceae.